AGAUUGAACGCUGGCGGCAGGCCUAACACAUGCAAGUCGAGCGGCAGCACGGGUACUUGUACCUGGUGGCGAGCGGCGGACGGGUGAGUAAUGCCUAGGAAUCCGCCUGGUAGUGGGGGAUAACGCUCGGAAACGGCGCUAAUACCGCAUACGUCCUACGGGAGAAAGCAGGGGACCUUCGGGCCUUGCGCUAUCAGAUGAGCCUAGGUCGAUUAGCUAGUUGGUGAGGUAAUGGCUCACCAAGGUGACGAUCCGUAACUGGUCUGAGAGGAU
RNAcentral lists this ribosomal RNA (273 nucleotides) under uncultured soil bacterium. RNAcentral's name for it is "partial 16S ribosomal RNA". It matches the Rfam family "Bacterial small subunit ribosomal RNA", at positions 26 to 301 of the family's 1533-position model. The record is from RNAcentral.